CAGACACAACAGCCGGCGGAUCCCCCGUCCUCGAUGACGGUACAAACGAUGGAGGGCGGGAGGACGGGGCUGCGGGCGGGGCUGCCUCCUCAAGCCACGCUCACCGACCCUCUGGACUGCCCUGCCGCGGGAGAGGCGGAGCCAAACAGAGGAGGUCCCGGAGGUUUAGCCCGAGAAGCCUCUGCGGAUCCCGGCCAUGAACCUCUGGUAAAUUCCUGGAAGGAAGGAGGAGCAGACUCGCCUGUUGCUCUCGGUGCUUCUGUUGGUGCCUCUUUAUCGAGCUGCUCUUCCGGGAGAGACACGGCACGGCCCAAGUCCCUGGAUCCGAGAGCCUGCCAAGAAGGCGUUUCGAAGCACUUGCACCCAAGCCUCACGCAAGCCUGGCUUGGUGGCCCUUCCCCAAACGACGACACAGCUUGUUGUUCUUCUCUCUCAGAAAUGGCAGCAGAGGAGAAGCCCCUGCAAGGGCUGCUGAAGUGCCUGAAGGAAUUGAUCGUCCAUCAGCCCCCUCACACAUCCCGCUGGAACCCCAGCAGCAGCUGGCAGCCAGCCCUGCGGCAGAAGAUGAGGGAAGGGGCCUGUGGGUCUCCCCUUGGCCAAGUUAAAAUUGAAGCCGUGGAUGAGGAGCUGCCUGCCCCUAGCCUGGAAAACACUGCUGCACAAGGAGGAUCCAGCCCUCCGGUUGCUCCCUCCUGUCGUGUUUCCACCUGCCAGACUGAAGGAGGCAGGAGAAGGAGCCGGUCAGAGGCAAAGGACAGGAACAUCUUUGCAGUGGUUAAAAUGGAAGAACCAUCUGAGGACCUUGUGCGAGACCUGAAGGAAGUCCCCGAGGAGGAGCGAGACCUGACACCUAGCCUCCCCGAAGGAUCCCUCUCUCAAAGCAGCCCAGAGACAGGGAUGGACCUGGGGAUGUGGGUCCCAUAUUCGGAGGCCUGGAGCCCAGUGACCAGUCCUCUCCAUGGGCUCCUGAACUGCCUGAAGGACAUCCCUGACCCAAGGCCUCAGGCCUCCCAAGCUGUGGCUGGAAAAAGAGGAGGAGGAGGAAAAGAGCGAAGGAAAGGAGGAAAGAGAGGAAGAUUAGGUACGCCCUCUGGGUGGUGGGCGAGGGUGGGAGAGACUUGGGAGGGGGCAGGGAGCCUCUCAAGCCUUAGAAAUGGGCCUGACACCCAUUUUUAA
RNAcentral lists this long non-coding RNA (1176 nucleotides) under Podarcis muralis (Common wall lizard). RNAcentral describes it as "lncRNA (ENSPMRG00000014064.1)". The record is from RNAcentral. Lineage: Eukaryota; Metazoa; Chordata; Lepidosauria; Squamata; Lacertidae.